Molecule: long non-coding RNA, 508 nt
Organism: Oncorhynchus tshawytscha (Chinook salmon)
Lineage: Eukaryota; Metazoa; Chordata; Actinopteri; Salmoniformes; Salmonidae
Source: Ensembl
GCGGUAUAGUCCAGUGGUAAGGUGGUAUGGUGGUAUGGUCCGGUGGUAAGGUGGUAUGGUGGUAUGGUCCGGUGAUAAGGUGGUAUGGUCCGGUGGUAUGGUGGUAUGGUCCGGUGAUAAGGUGGUAUGGCCCGGUGGUAUGGUGGUAUGGUGGUAAGGUGGUAUGGUCCGGUGAUAAGGUGGUAUGGCGGUAUGGUCCGGUGAUAAGGUGGUAUGGUCUGGUGGUAUGGUCCGGUGAUAAGGUGGUAUGGUCUGGUGGUAUGGUCCGGUGGUAUGGUGAUAUAGUCCGGUGGUAAGGUGGUAUGGUGGUAUGGUCCGGUGGUAAGGUGGUAUGUUCCGGUGGUAUGGUGAUAUGGUCCGGUGGUAAGGUGGUAUGGUCCGGUGGUAAGGUGGUAUGGUGGUAUGGUCCGGUGGUAUGGUCCGGUGGUAAGGUGGUAUGGUCCGGUGGUAAGGUGGUAUGUGAGGUGAACCAGCCGUGGAGAAUGCACAUCGAAUUGGACCAAAACCA